RNAcentral lists this ribosomal RNA (300 nucleotides) under Hemibrycon sp. Its description in RNAcentral is "partial small subunit ribosomal RNA". It matches the Rfam family "Bacterial small subunit ribosomal RNA", at positions 1051 to 1495 of the family's 1533-position model. The record is from RNAcentral. Lineage: Eukaryota; Metazoa; Chordata; Actinopteri; Characiformes; Stevardiidae.
GUCGCAAGCUUACCCUGUGAAGGUCUCAUAGUAAGCAAAAUGGGUAAAUCCCAAAACGUCAGGUCGAGGUGUAGCUCACGAGGUGGGAAGAAAUGGGCUACAUUUUCUAUAUCAGAAUAAUACGAACAGCACUAUGAAACUAGUGCUCGAAGGUGGAUUUAGUAGUAAAAAACAAAUAGAGAGUCUUUUUGAACCAGGCUCUGAGACGCGCACACACCGCCCGUCACUCUCCCCAUUUUAAAUUUAUAACCAUUUAAGUAAAAAAAUAACCCAGAAAGCGGGGAGGCAAGUCGUAACAUG